This 83-nucleotide transfer RNA is filed under the name Canis lupus familiaris (dog). It matches the Rfam family "tRNA". From Rfam's summary of the family: Transfer RNA (tRNA) molecules are approximately 80 nucleotides in length. Their secondary structure includes four short double-helical elements and three loops (D, anti-codon, and T loops). Further hydrogen bonds mediate the characteristic L-shaped molecular structure. tRNAs have two regions of fundamental functional importance: the anti-codon, which is responsible for specific mRNA codon recognition, and the 3' end, to which the tRNAs corresponding amino acid is attached (by aminoacyl-tRNA synthetases). tRNAs cope with the degeneracy of the genetic code in two manners: having more than one tRNA (with a specific anti-codon) for a particular amino acid; and 'wobble' base-pairing, i.e. permitting non-standard base-pairing at the 3rd anti-codon position. RNAcentral also lists the same sequence under 1 other name. Lineage: Eukaryota; Metazoa; Chordata; Mammalia; Carnivora; Canidae. The record is from Rfam by way of RNAcentral.
GCUUGGGUAGCUCAGUGGUAGAGCAUCUGCCUUUGGCUCAGGUAGUGAUCCGAAGGUCCUGGGAUCAAGUCCCACAUCGGGCU